AACAAGCACAGAGUUGCCACUGAUAUUGAGAUGGGAAACAAGGAGCUUGGGGUCAAUGGUACAAUUAAGUUACCCAACAAGCACGGAGUUGCCACUGAUAUCGAGGUUGGAAACAAGGAGUGCAGGGUCAAUGGUACAAUUAAAGGUCAGCCAUUAACUAUGUCUAAACCAAAGACAUUGGUUCAAUCUAAACCAAAGGCUUCUUCGAUGUCUCCUGGUGCUGAUCAUAUUGCUGAAGCGUCUAAAAGACCUCCUCAUCCCGAU
RNAcentral lists this unclassified non-coding RNA (264 nucleotides) under Hevea brasiliensis (rubber tree). The record is from RNAcentral. Lineage: Eukaryota; Viridiplantae; Streptophyta; Magnoliopsida; Malpighiales; Euphorbiaceae.